This 73-nucleotide transfer RNA is filed under the name Streptomyces phage Immanuel3. RNAcentral's name for it is "tRNA-Asn". It matches the Rfam family "tRNA". From Rfam's summary of the family: Transfer RNA (tRNA) molecules are approximately 80 nucleotides in length. Their secondary structure includes four short double-helical elements and three loops (D, anti-codon, and T loops). Lineage: Duplodnaviria; Heunggongvirae; Uroviricota; Caudoviricetes. RNAcentral also lists the same sequence under 8 other names. The record is from RNAcentral.
UGGUGUAUGGCCAAGUGGUAAGGCAGCGAGCUGUUAACUCGCAGAGCGCAGGUUCGAUCCCUGCUACACCAGC